CCUCCUCUCUCCCCUUCUUCAUCUCCCUCUCGCACUCUCCGCUUCCCUCAUCCUCUCCCUCCCUCUUCGCCAGGCGACUCGCCCCAGGAGCUGGGUCCGCCUGCGGAGCCGCCGGGCCAAGGCAAGAGCAUUUUCAGCACAGAGGAAGCUAGUGGCUUUCACUGUUUGCAUGAGGAGCCACCGCAGCGUGCUGAUGUAAUACAGAAUUUCUUGGAAUUACUAAACCUGAGAUUACAGAAGAAAA
Molecule: long non-coding RNA, 244 nt
Organism: Pezoporus flaviventris
Lineage: Eukaryota; Metazoa; Chordata; Aves; Psittaciformes; Psittacidae
Exons: 2
Source: RefSeq, a predicted model, not a curated record